This 1333-nucleotide long non-coding RNA is filed under the name Equus caballus (horse). RNAcentral's name for it is "lncRNA (ENSECAG00000045222.1)". Lineage: Eukaryota; Metazoa; Chordata; Mammalia; Perissodactyla; Equidae. The record is from RNAcentral.
GUUCAAAGGGUUUGCCAGGCUAUUUUUAACAUUGAAGUCUGGAAGGAAAAUGAUGUCACAUGCUGGGAAAGGGGUCCAGAUAUUUCAACAGACCACAGCCAAAGAAUUCUGUUUUUUAUUUGUUUCUCUCAGAAUUGAAUCAUUUGAAAAAGGAACAGUGAGUACGUGACCAGAUAAGGGUGUCCUUCCCAAUGGCAUGUCCGCACACAGCCCCCGCCUGUCUCUCGCCUGGUAGCCUGUUCCCCAUCACUGUCGAGCUGGUCCUCACCUGUCUGGAGUCUAUGGCCGGGGCUGCGCAAUGGUUCUGGAUUGCAGGCAUGUUUUAUCCAUCAUGAUUCAGUUGUUACCAUACACAGUGUUUAUUUUUCUUCAUAAAAAGAUGCAAGCUGUGCGCCUCCAAAUGCUGGGAGCUCAGAAUAUUCCAUUUGUUUGUGGAGAGACAGACUGGAUGGCACAAUUUCAAUCAAACUAUGAAAUGCAGCCUGGCAUGCCUGCAGAGAACGGGAAAUAAUAAAGCCGUGUGCUCCUCUUUCCGAGAAGCCCGAGAGCCGUGCACACCGUUAACUCCUUACUCCCUGGGAGGGUCCUGGUGGACGUAUUCCCCCAGCGGCCGGGGCCCAGGGAACUGUCCAGAGUGGUCCAUCCUUGCACGGGGACAGGCAGGGCCGUGGGGCACAGGGUGUGCCCCCCUGAUUGACUCUGGGUGACAAGGCGUGUGUGCUUUUGGUUCUCAAAUGGAAAUGGCCCUCUUUUCUAAUUACAAAAGUAAUAAAUGAUUAUUAAAAGUUUUUAGGAAAACAAAGUCUGAACACCAAAAAAAAAAAAAAAAAAAAACCCACCUAAAAUUUCUCCCUGUCUGUGCUUAUCUGCCUGUUUGUAUCUAACUUGUCUUUUUCAACUGAGGACAGCUCUCUGGUUAGCAUUUAUCGAUCUAGUUCCCCGACUGUGAGGGCUGAGCAGUGUUCCACCUUGUGGCUCCAUCAGCCCUGGUGAGGCAGGGUUGGCUGUCAGCCGCUUUCUCUUUUCGAAGCUGUGCCGCCUGGAACACUCUGAAACAUUCGCCUUGGCCCCUGGUGGGCUCAGUUGCUGAGGGUCAGCUCUAAGCAGUGGGAUACCUGGGGAAGUGCUUUUGAGGAACAUUCCUGAACCAUCCCCCCUGAAGUCCGUGCAAAGGAUACCAACCCCACAGAGCAGGGGCCUGUCUCCGACUGUCACUCCGGAGGACACUUUGUCACUCUUGGGGGUCCUCUUCUCUUCAAUUUCUGAAUGACCGGCAUAUCUUGACAUGGGAAAUCUCUAUGUAAUAAAGAUUUUAUUUUUUUCUUCUUCUUAU